RNAcentral lists this ribosomal RNA (167 nucleotides) under Hypocalyptus oxalidifolius. Its description in RNAcentral is "5.8S ribosomal RNA". It matches the Rfam family "5.8S ribosomal RNA". Rfam says of the family: 5.8S ribosomal RNA (5.8S rRNA) is a component of the large subunit of the eukaryotic ribosome. It is transcribed by RNA polymerase I as part of the 45S precursor that also contains 18S and 28S rRNA. The record is from RNAcentral. Lineage: Eukaryota; Viridiplantae; Streptophyta; Magnoliopsida; Fabales; Fabaceae.
UCUAAAAUGACUCUCGGCAACGGAUAUCUCGGCUCUUGCAUCGAUGAAGAACGUAGCGAAAUGCGAUACUUGGUGUGAAUUGCAGAAUCCCGUGAACCAUCGAGUCUUUGAACGCAAGUUGCGCCCGAAGCCAUUAGGCUGAGGGCACGUCUGCCUGGGUGUCACAC